Molecule: long non-coding RNA, 2451 nt
Filed under: Mytilus galloprovincialis (Mediterranean mussel)
Lineage: Eukaryota; Metazoa; Mollusca; Bivalvia; Mytilida; Mytilidae
Source: RNAcentral
UGGGACAAAACAAGGCAGGUGGUCUCUGUAUUCCAUGUAGUGUCUCUGUGAGAAGUGUUUUCAGUUCAGGUUUUUUUAAGUUGUAAAUAUCAAGGUUUCUGUAAUCUAGCUCAUCAGUAAGGGUUUCCUUGGUUAAAUUUACAAAGCGGUUGAUGUUGUUCUGCAUGUUGAAAGUUUUCCACAGAGUACCACCUUUAAAAAGAUCAAGACGUUGCUGUAAAGAUUGAGUUUUCUGGAUAAAAGCCGCUUCAAAAUUUGAGUGGUUCACUGCAGCUAAGCCACAGAUACAUCGGUAAUUGCCUCCCCUUUGCUGUCCACACUCAAAUUGUCGGGCAGGAUUGUCCCCAGUGAAAAUCCUGACUGUGUCAUAAACCUUUAAACCAUCGGGAGCAAUUGAUGGAGUGCUUAGAUCUUUAAGGUCCUCCACCCUUGUAGUACUGUAUGACAUCUGGUCAAAAUCGCUACUCUUUGACUGACCAAAUAUGUUAGAGCUUUGGCUUUUCAACAAUGCUUUGUACAUCAAUAGCUUUUUGAUUUUUGAUCAGGGUAUUUUUCAGUGUAUUCCUCAUUUGUAAGAUAAAUAUUUUCAUCGAACAAACAAGAAACCAUUAUCAAAAAGUAUGGCCUACUCAAUAUGCCAGAAUGGUCAUGCCACAAUUUCAAAUGACGAUGGAUGGUGUUGGCAGACGCCCUGAAAAAACCCAUUUCAGACUGUUCAUUUGUCAGCUUCUGACAUAACUGGUGUAGGGGAAAUUUUCUGCCAUAAACUGUCACAAUCUUUUCUACCAAUUCACCAGUGGUUGUUAUAUUAUUUGAUUUAAAGACUUUAGGAGCAACUGCAACACCUAUAUCCAAGUCGCCAGUCUGUAAUAGUUCCCUUACUUCUUUCUUAAGUUUUUUGGCUGGUCUUGGUGUUGAUAGACGUUUACAUAAUAUGUGUUUAGCCCUACGAACUCGCCUAAAGUAAUCCCUGCCGCUUAUUCUUUUUGUAUCAUUAAAUUUGUUAACUUCAACUCCUUCAGAUUUGGCAAAUUGGUAUAAAACCUGACCUGCAUUGAGUGGAAAUUUAUGAUAAGAGUUUUUGACCUCAUAUUUUCUGGAUAAUUCGGUCCAGUUUAUGUUUGAUUUAGCAGGAAGUGAUUUGAUUUCAUUAAUGAACUUCUUCUUGUCGAAUUCAUAAUUGUUUAUGUUUCCUAUACUUUUUCUCUGUUUUUGUGUUUUUUUGGCCUCUUCUCUGAAUCUUUUAGCUAUGUUUUGUUUUGCUUUGGUAUUGCUAAUAAAAAAUGUUCCCAAUCUUUCUCUUACAUAUUCACUAUAGGAUUUUGUUGAGGCUAGAAAGUUUUUAAUUUUAUUAUCUGCAUUUAGUAGGUUGGACAUUUCUUCUUUUUGUUUUGAUAGUACAGAUUUUAUUUCUUUUUCUUUUUCUCCUGAAGUCAACUUUGGUGUUAGUUUAUAAUUUUUGCAAAUUACGUCUGUAAAAUUACUUCCAGUUUUCUUUUCUAUGUACGGGACAAUUGUGUUCACUACUUUAAUCAUUUUGCCAUCAUUGUUAGUUUUUGAAGUGUUGCAAACUGUUGUUGUAAGUUGAGUGCAUAAUUGGUCGAUAUCAUUUGUUGUUUGUGGUGCACUGGCAGCAUGCAGAGACGUGUGGAAGGCAUCGGAUUUACAAAUAUUGCAAUCUUGUUGCUGAUGGCCUUUUUUUCAAUUUCACUGAGUUUACACCAGUUUUUCAGGUUAUAUUGUUCAAUAAAGAGAGUUUUUUCUCCUGAUUUGUUACAAUUUUUCCAAUAUUUUGUCUUUGUAAGAUAAGUUUGCACCCGAGGGACUCUAGAUUUGAACUCGGCUAAUGGUAUUUACAUUUUGGGGUAUUUGUUCAUUAUAACAUGAUAAUUGUUAUAUCUUUGAAAUACAUUUAUGUUUUGACUGUGAUUAAGCACUGUUGUAUAAAUUGAGAUUUCUUUGGAAUUUUCAACUUGCUUAUUGUUCCACCAUUUCAGAUUAUCUGGGUCUUUGGUUGAUCUAGCCAAGAUCACCUUUGCAUAGUUACACAUAUUCAUGUUUGCAGGUUAUUUGUCAAAAGAUUGUUGAAACAUUGUGUCAAAUUUUAAAAUAUGUUGUGUCCUCCAUGAUGAUUUCAGCUAUGUUUUUGUUCAUAGAUUAUAUUUAUAUAUGUAUUGAAUCUUAAAAAAAGAAUGUUGUGCAUUCUCACAGAAAUAAAAAUAAAACUGAUCAAUGGCAUUCUUCGUGUAUUUUAUAUCGUUAAACAAGAAUUUAGAGGCUAGGAAACAUCAAUUUGACAGCAUAUUUUGGAGGAGGAAAAAACAAUUUGAACCAUUCAGGACUCUUAUAUCACAAUUGUGAAACAAAAAUGAUGGUCAAAAUUAAAAAAUUAAAAUUAUAAAAAAAAACUUUAAAAAAGAGCAGCAUAAAAGAAGUGCAACAUGAACUGAC